RNAcentral lists this ribosomal RNA (252 nucleotides) under uncultured bacterium. RNAcentral's name for it is "partial 16S ribosomal RNA". It matches the Rfam family "Bacterial small subunit ribosomal RNA", at positions 524 to 776 of the family's 1533-position model. The record is from RNAcentral.
UACGAGAGGCGCAAACGUUAUUCGGAUUUACUGGGCUUAAAGAGUUCGUAGGCGGCGCGGAAAGUGGGGUGUGAAAGCCCUCGGCUUAACCGAGGAAUUGCGCUCCAAACUACCGUGCUUGAGGAAGCUAGAGGUGAGCAGAACUGAUGGUGGAGCGGUGAAAUGCGUUGAUAUCAUCAGGAAUACCGGAGGCGAAGGCGGCUCACUGGGGCUUUCUGACGCUGAGGAACGAAAGCCAGGGUAGCGAACGGG